UGAUACUUGUCCUCUUUUUCCCUCCCUUUCAUCUUCAUCCCAUUCUCUCCAUCAUUGGCCAAUGAGUUAAGUUCUUAUGGUUGGUCUUGACAAAUGAGAGGUUUAACAUUCUUUGAUCCAAACCAAACUCAACUUGAUCCAUGAUCAAGUGAGUUGUUUUGUGUCCAAGAUAGGUUGCUUCUUGGUCAAGCAAAUAACCUAAAGACAAUACAAG
RNAcentral lists this long non-coding RNA (214 nucleotides) under Lathyrus oleraceus (garden pea). RNAcentral's name for it is "Pisum sativum (pea) long non-coding RNA (PSAT_LNC026258)". The record is from RNAcentral. Lineage: Eukaryota; Viridiplantae; Streptophyta; Magnoliopsida; Fabales; Fabaceae.